GGUAGAGAGAGCCCGACCCCCGUGGCUGUCACUCGGUGACGGCUAUGAGGAAAGUCCCCCCACCGUUCGGACAGGUGACCGGGCGCAAGUCCGGAGUCGGAGACGGCUGGCGCUGAAACAGCAACGAGACCCCCUGCCCUGACCGAUGAGACGUGUGAACUGACCCGUAAGGGAAUGGAGCUAACCCGUCGAGGGCGUGGUGCCACGCGCCACGUUACCCCGAGCGGUGAAGCCGCGAGGGCUACGAUGGCAUCGCCAUCGAACCGUCGUAGGCAUUGCCUACCAGACGGGCAGGAACGGAUGGAACGGUGAAUCCUCACCGGUGCAAGGUCGCGUCAGGCGGUCGAUCGGCCAUGCGGAGUGGUCGACGGUCGCCGAGGUAGUCCGAACACGACGCGACUGCUCAGCCGAAUGUCGGGUCAAAACAGAAGGGGGCUUACUCCUCUCAACC
Molecule: RNase P RNA, 451 nt
Filed under: Halonotius pteroides
Lineage: Archaea; Methanobacteriati; Methanobacteriota; Halobacteria; Halobacteriales; Haloferacaceae
Description: RNase P RNA component
Rfam family: Archaeal RNase P
About the family: Ribonuclease P (RNase P) is a ubiquitous endoribonuclease, found in archaea, bacteria and eukarya as well as chloroplasts and mitochondria. Its best characterised activity is the generation of mature 5'-ends of tRNAs by cleaving the 5'-leader elements of precursor-tRNAs. Cellular RNase Ps are ribonucleoproteins.
Source: RNAcentral